UUAACUCAAAUUUUAUGGAGAUCAAACGUUUGCCUACAUUUGUCGCUAGGGGCGCUGUUCCAACUCCAUACAAAUUUGAGUUA
Molecule: microRNA precursor, 83 nt
Filed under: Bombyx mori (domestic silkworm)
Lineage: Eukaryota; Metazoa; Arthropoda; Insecta; Lepidoptera; Bombycidae
Description: mir-2807 microRNA precursor family
Rfam family: mir-2807 microRNA precursor family
Source: Rfam by way of RNAcentral